Long non-coding RNA from Paramacrobiotus metropolitanus, 402 nucleotides. RefSeq lists it as uncharacterized. NCBI's taxonomy places the organism in Eukaryota, Metazoa, Tardigrada, Eutardigrada, Parachela, Macrobiotidae. The record is from RefSeq and is a predicted model, not a curated record. The transcript has 3 exons.
UUCUCAUCGUCAUUCGAUGAUAAAUCCUUAACUAAAAAAGGAACAGCUUUGGCACCGCUGUUUCCCGUUAUUAUCAUACUAUGGUACGCACUGGCGCUGGUAGCAGUUCCAAUCUUCUUUUCUGUACGCUUUGCCUCUGCGAUCGAAAAGCUGUUUGAAGCCAUCGAACACCGUCUGCAUGCCGGUGACCUUUCUGGAAAGGGGGAGGCUGAAUGGCGCUGCCAGAUGAAAAUUCUGAUGCGCAUACAGGGCCUACGUCAAAACCCACUCGUUCUAACGGCCGGAAAAUUCUUCAACGUUGACCGUAACCUGGCUUUAUCGAUGCUUGGUGUAUUUCUCUCUUAUAUACUGGUCGUGCGCGAUCUGGUUAACCGAGUGCCCGAAGAGAAUAACACAUCCGUC